RNAcentral lists this ribosomal RNA (549 nucleotides) under Ceutorhynchus parvulus. RNAcentral's name for it is "partial 16S ribosomal RNA". The stretch from base 411 to 549 matches the Rfam family "Bacterial large subunit ribosomal RNA", at positions 2473 to 2611 of the family's 2925-position model. Lineage: Eukaryota; Metazoa; Arthropoda; Insecta; Coleoptera; Curculionidae. The record is from RNAcentral.
AAAAACAUGGCUUUUUGAUUUUAAUUUAAGGUCUAGCCUGCUCAAUGAGUAUUAAAUAGCCGCAGUAUUUUGACUGUGCAAAGGUAGCAUAAUCAUUAGUUUUUUAAUUGAAAGCUGGAAUGAAAGGUUGAAUGAGAAAAUAGCUGUCUCUAUAUAAAUUUUAUAGAAUUUUAUUUUUGAGUUAAAAAGCUUAAAUUUUAAUAAAAGACGAGAAGACCCUAUAGAGUUUUAUAUUUAUUUAUAAUAUGUAUUAUAUGUAUAUAUAUAUAUUUUUUAGUAUUUUAAAUUAUAUUAUUUUUAAGUAUUUGAUUGGGGUGAUUAGAAAAUUAAUAAAACUUUUCUUUAAGUAAAACAUUUAUUUAUGAUAUUAUGAUCUUUUUGUAGAGAUUAUAAGAUAAAAUUACCUUAGGGAUAACAGCGUAAUUUUUUUUGAGAGUUCUUAUCGAUAAAAAAGAUUGCGACCUCGAUGUUGGAUUAAAAUAAAUUUUUGGUGUAGAAGCUAAAUUGAUUAGGUCUGUUCGACCUUUAAAAUUUUACUUGAUCUGAGUU